RNAcentral lists this ribosomal RNA (504 nucleotides) under uncultured bacterium. Its description in RNAcentral is "partial 16S ribosomal RNA". It matches the Rfam family "Bacterial small subunit ribosomal RNA", at positions 30 to 523 of the family's 1533-position model. The record is from RNAcentral.
AUUGAACGCUGGCGGCAGGCCUAACACAUGCAAGUCGAGCGGUAGCACAGAGAGCUUGCUCUCGGGUGACGAGCGGCGGACGGGUGAGUAAUGUCUGGGAAACUGCCUGAUGGAGGGGGAUAACUACUGGAAACGGUAGCUAAUACCGCAUAAUGUCGCAAGACCAAAGUGGGGGACCUUCGGGCCUCAUGCCAUCAGAUGUGCCCAGAUGGGAUUAGCUAGUAGGUGGGGUAACGGCUCACCUAGGCGACGAUCCCUAGCUGGUCUGAGAGGAUGACCAGCCACACUGGAACUGAGACACGGUCCAGACUCCUACGGGAGGCAGCAGUGGGGAAUAUUGCACAAUGGGCGCAAGCCUGAUGCAGCCACGCCGCGUGUGUGAAGAAGGCCUUCGGGUUGUAAAGCACUUUCAGCGGGGAGGAAGGCGUUAAGGUUAAUAGCCUUGGCGAUUGACGUUACCCGCAGAAGAAGCACCGGCUAACUCCGUGCCAGCAGCCGCAGUAA